RNAcentral lists this ribosomal RNA (470 nucleotides) under uncultured organism. RNAcentral's name for it is "partial 16S ribosomal RNA". It matches the Rfam family "Bacterial small subunit ribosomal RNA", at positions 334 to 796 of the family's 1533-position model. The record is from RNAcentral.
CACUCCUGCGGGAGGCAGCAGAGGGGAAUUUUGGACAAUGGGCGAAAGCCUGAUCCAGCCAUGCCGCGUGCAGGAUGAAGGCCUUCGGGUUGUAAACUGCUUUUGUACGGAACGAAACGGCCUUUUCUAAUAAAGAGGGCUAAUGACGGUACCGUAAGAAUAAGCACCGGCUAACUACGUGCCAGCAGCCGCGGUAAUACGUAGGGUGCAAGCGUUAAUCGGAAUUACUGGGCGUAAAGCGUGCGCAGGCGGUUAUGUAAGACAGUUGUGAAAUCCCCGGGCUCAACCUGGGAACUGCAUCUGUGACUGCAUAGCUAGAGUACGGUAGAGGGGGAUGGAAUUCCGCGUGUAGCAGUGAAAUGCGUAGAUAUGCGGAGGAACACCGAUGGCGAAGGCAAUCCCCUGGACCUGUACUGACGCUCAUGCACGAAAGCGUGGGGAGCAAACAGGAUUAGAUACCCUGGUAGUCC